Molecule: ribosomal RNA, 1892 nt
Filed under: Clostridioides difficile
Lineage: Bacteria; Bacillati; Bacillota; Clostridia; Peptostreptococcales; Peptostreptococcaceae
Description: bacterial LSU rRNA
Rfam family: Bacterial large subunit ribosomal RNA
Source: RNAcentral
AAGACCCACCACAGAAGGUAAUAGUCCUGUAUGUUAAACGAGAAGACUUUAGAUAUGAUCCAGAGUACCACGGGACACGUGAAACCCUGUGGGAAGCAGGAGGGACCACCCUCCAAGGCUAAAUACUACCUAGUGACCGAUAGCGUAUAGUACCGUGAGGGAAAGGUGAAAAGAACCCCGGGAGGGGAGUGAAAUAGAACCUGAAACCCUGCACUUACAAGCUGUGGAAGCACAUUUCUUGUGUGACCGCGUACUUUUUGUAGAACGGGCCAACGAGUUACGUUAAGUAGCAAGGUUAAGCACUUAAGGUGCGGAGCCGUAGCGAAAGCGAGUUUUAACUGAGCGUUCAGUUACUUGACGUAGACCCGAAACCGGGCGACCUACCCAUGAGCAGGAUGAAGCGAAAGUAAAAUUUCGUGGAGGUCCGAACCCACGAGCGUUGAAAAGCUCGGGGAUGACUUGUGGGUAGCGGUGAAAUUCCAAUCGAGCCCGGAGAUAGCUGGUUCUCCCCGAAAUAGCUUUAGGGCUAGCCUCAAGGUGAGAGAUACGGAGGUAGAGCACUGAAUGUCCUAGGGGGUAUUGCACCUACCGAAGACUAUCAAACUCCGAAUGCCGUCAUCUUAUACUUGGGAGUCAGACUGUGGGUGAUAAGAUUCAUAGUCGAAAGGGCAACAGCCCAGAUCGUCAGCUAAGGUCCCUAAAUGUAAGUUAAGUGGUAAAGGAUGUGGGAUUGCACAGACAACCAGGAUGUUGGCUUAGAAGCAGCCACUCAUUCAAAGAGUGCGUAAUAGCUCACUGGUCGAGUGAUCCUGCGCCGAAGAUUUCCGGGGCUAAAACUUACUACCGAAGCUACGGCAUCAGUAAUGAUGGGUAGGGGAGCUUCCCAUACGGGUUGAAGCAUGACCGUAAGGACAUGUGGACAGUAUGGGAGUGAGAAUGUUGGCAUGAGUAGCGAGAUGUGGGUGAGAAUCCCACAGGCCGUAAACCCAAGGUUUCCAGGGGAAGGUUCGUCCGCCCUGGGUUAGUCGGGACCUAAGCUGAGGCCGAAAGGCGUAGGUGAUGGACAACAGGUUGAUAUUCCUGUACUACCGAUAACCGUUUGAGAGAAGGGAUGACACAGUAGGAUAAGCUAAGCACACUGUUGGUUAUGUGUGCCCAAGCAUUGAGGCAGUCAAAGUAGGCAAAUCCGCUUUGAUAAUGCUGGGAUGUGAUGGGGAGCGAAAUUUAGUAGCGAAGUAGCUGAUUUCACACUGUCAAGAAAAGUCUCUAUCGAGGUUAAAGGUACCCGUACCGCAAACCGACACAGGUGGGUGAGGAGAGUAUCCUAAGGCCAGCGAGAGAACUGUUGUUAAGGAACUCGGCAAAAUGACCCCGUAACUUAGGGAUAAGGGGUGCCACCAUCAGGUGGCCGCAGAGAAUAGGCCCAAGCGACUGUUUACCAAAAACAUAGGUUUCUGCUAAGUCGCAAGACGAUGUAUAGGAGCUGACGCCUGCCCGGUGCUGGAAGGUUAAGGGGAUCUGUUAGAGCAAUCGAAGCAGUGAACUUAAGCCCCAGUAAACGGCGGCCGUAACUAUAACGGUCCUAAGGUAGCGAAAUUCCUUGUCGGGUAAGUUCCGACCCGCACGAAAGGCGUAACGAUUUGGGCACUGUCUCAACAACAGACUCGGUGAAAUUGUAAUUCCGGUGAAGAUGCCGGAUACCUGCGACAGGACGGAAAGACCCCAUGGAGCUUUACUGUAGCUUGACAUUGGGUCUUGGUACUACAUGUACAGGAUAGGUGGGAGGCUUUGAAACCAGGACGCCAGUUUUGGCGGAGCCAUCCUUGGGAUACCACCCUUGUAGUACUGGGACUCUAACCAUAGGCCAUGAAUCUGGUCUUGGGACACUGUCA